RNAcentral lists this small RNA (107 nucleotides) under Marmota monax (woodchuck). The record is from RNAcentral. Lineage: Eukaryota; Metazoa; Chordata; Mammalia; Rodentia; Sciuridae.
GCCGUGCGUGGUGGUCGGUGCUUGUAAUCCCAGGGGCUUGGGAGGCUGAUGUAGGAGAAUCUCAAGUUUGAGGGCAACCUGAGUAAUUUAGGGAGAUCCUGUAUCAA